GAUGAACGCUGGCGGCGUGCCUAAUACAUGCAAGUCGAGCGAACAGACGAGGAGCUUGCUCCUCUGACGUUAGCGGCGGACGGGUGAGUAACACGUGGAUAACCUACCUAUAAGACUGGGAUAACUUCGGGAAACCGGAGCUAAUGCCGGAUAAUAUAUUGAACCGCAUGGUUCAAUAGUGAAAGACGGUUUUGCUGUCACUUAUAGAUGGAUCCGCGCCGCAUUAGCUAGUUGGUAAGGUAACGUCUUACCAAGGCAACGAUGCGUAGCCGACCUGAGAGGGUGAUCGGCCACACUGGAACUGAGACACGGUCCAGACUCCUACGGGAGGCAGCAGUAGGGAAUCUUCCGCAAUGGGCGAAAGCCUGACGGAGCAACGCCGCGUGAGUGAUGAAGGUCUUCGGAUCGUAAAACUCUGUUAUUAGGGAAGAACAAAUGUGUAAGUAACUAUGCACGUCUUGACGGUACCUAAUCAGAAAGCCACGGCUAACUACGUG
RNAcentral lists this ribosomal RNA (497 nucleotides) under uncultured bacterium. RNAcentral's name for it is "partial 16S ribosomal RNA". It matches the Rfam family "Bacterial small subunit ribosomal RNA", at positions 28 to 507 of the family's 1533-position model. The record is from RNAcentral.